CCUGAGAAGUUCACCAAGGGGCUUAGCUGGAUGAGAACAAGAAGAACUCUAUAGAUUUUCAAGGUGCUAAGAAGAAAGCUUCUAGACGUAUUUCAAAUGUCAAGUUUCUGAGACUUCAAUAAGAAAGUUGCAGUGGAAGGAAAUUUGGGCCAAAGGACUGGUGUCCCGUUUAUGAACUUCAGACGGAGUGACUUGGGAAAUUAUUCUAACCUCGCUGAGCCUCAGCUUACUCAUCUGAGAAAUGGAGAAGAGGGCCCCAGCCCAUUUUAGUCACAGGGGCUGUGGCUGCCACCAAGUGACAUCAUGAAAUGGAAAGGUUACUCAUUUGCAGACACUCGCCUCAGCCCUAUAGGCUGACUACAAGCUGCAGCGAACAAUCGUUGUGGAAAACAGCAAGUUCAGGCUGUUUGGAUGAAUAAGUGGGAGGUCAGCCCUGUGGGGAAAUGCAGCAUCUCCACACACAACUCCAGUGCCAGGUAGACAGAGUCCGAGGAUCCUGUCAACUGAUAGAACAACUGCAGUUCAACCGAUAGCUGACAAUGCAUCAAUCUGUCCGAGCCUCCGAGAUUCACCAUGCCUGGAAACUAUAUAUUGAUUAAAAUGAAAUAUGCACGUCAUUAGUUAGAUCCCGAGAAUCUGUAAUGAUCUGCUUGUCUCUUCCCUCUCCCCGCCUCUAACAUUGUUCCUGCGACCUGGGUCAGCUGCCGGGAAACCCGGACUCUGAUGUUACCACCUCCCCCCGUGCAGGGCACCGUGCUCUUAUUUAUUACUUUCAUUUCAUGCAUCGGCUGUUACUCCUCCCUUGUGCUCACCUCUGCUGUGGUCUUGGCUCUAGUCCAGACUUGGCUCUGGACCCAGCCUCUCUCAUCUGCCUUUUCCAGAAUCAGAUCUAUGGAUGUGGGGCCAGCUGGGGGUCAGCUGCGCUGAGGGAGAGGACGAGAGACCCUAGGAUACCCCACAUCCACGCCACCCUUCUUCGUAGACAGGGUUUCGGCCAGCCUGAGCCCUGUAAUGAAGCCGAUUGUCCAGAUCCUUCCAGAAGAAAUGCUCAUAAGGAAAUGUCUGGAAAAACCUCAAGCAAAUAAAACUCCAUCACUCCUCAGGUGCUGGGCUCUGCUGGCCUCAGAUCUGAAACCAUCCCCCUUCAAGGUGGGGACCUGUGAUUUGUACUUGACUCUUCAGGUUGUGGAAGGCUGGCCAAGCAGGCCCACUGAUUCCAGGGUCUCUCCUGGAUUUUCAAACUCCAGUCCCCUCUAGCAGCACAGAGGAAAGAGGCCUUCCCUCACCAUGCCUGCUUCUCCCUCGUGGUGCCCAUAACCUGCCAUUUUUUCUUCUAUGAGGAGCAGUAAAGAGAUUAAUCUCAGGAGUUCCCGUCACGGCUCAGUGAUUAACGAAUCCGACUAGGAACCAUGAGGUUGCAGGUUUGAUCCCUGGCCUUGCUCAGUGGGUUAAGGAUCCAGUGUUGCCAUGAGCUGUGGUGUAGGUUGCAGAGGCGUCUCGGAUCUGGUAUCGCUGUGGUGUAGGCCAGUGGCUACAGCUCUGAUUCGACCCCUAGCCUGGGAACCUCCACAUGCAUCAGGAGCAGCCUAAGAAAUGGCAAAAAUACAAAAAAAAAAAAAAAGAUGAAUCUCAGCUCUACUGGCUGUUCACUGCAUGCCUUUGGUAAGUUACUGCACCUUCUUGUGCCCCGUUUCCUCAUCCA
RNAcentral lists this long non-coding RNA (1702 nucleotides) under Sus scrofa (pig). RNAcentral's name for it is "lncRNA (ENSSSCG00050048003.1)". Lineage: Eukaryota; Metazoa; Chordata; Mammalia; Artiodactyla; Suidae. The record is from RNAcentral.